This 440-nucleotide ribosomal RNA is filed under the name uncultured bacterium. RNAcentral describes it as "partial 16S ribosomal RNA". It matches the Rfam family "Bacterial small subunit ribosomal RNA", at positions 338 to 795 of the family's 1533-position model. The record is from RNAcentral.
CCUACGGGGGGCAGCAGUGGGGGAUAUUGCACAAUGGGGGGAACCCUGAUGCAGCGACGCCGCGUGGGUGAAGAAGCGCCUCGGCGCGUAAAGCCCUGUCAGCAGGGAAGAAAAUGACGGUACCUGAAGAAGACGCCCCGGCUAACUACGUGCCAGCGGCAGCGGUAAUACGUAGGGGGCAAGCGUUAUCCGGAUUUACUGGGUGUAAAGGGGGCGCAGACGGCGAUGCAAGCCAGGAGUGAAAGCCCGGGGCCCAACCCCGGGACUGCUCUUGGAACUGCGUGGCUGGAGGGCAGGAGGGGCAGGCGGAAUUCCUGGGGGAGCGGUGAAAUGCGUAGAUAUCAGGAGGAACACCGGUGGCGAAGGCGGCCUGCUGGACUGCAACUGACGUUGAGGCCCGAAAGCGUGGGGAGCAAACAGGAUUAGAUACCCUUGUAGUC